AGUGAACGCUGGCGGCGUGCUUAACACAUGCAAGUCGAACGAGAACGGGUUAUAGCUUGCUAUAAUUGUCAGCUAAGUGGCGCACGGGUGAGUAAUGUAUAGGUAAUAUGCCUCUUACUAAGGGAUAACAAAUGGAAACGUUUGCUAAUACCUUAUACUCCUUAUUAACAUAAGUUAAUAAGGGAAAGAUUUAUUGGUAAGAGAUUAGCCUGUAUUGUAUCAGUUAGUUGGUGGGGUAAUGGCUUACCAAGACUAUGACACAUAACUGGUUUGAGAGGAUGAUCAGUCACACUGGAACUGAGACACGGUCCAGACUCCUACGGGAGGCAGCAGUGGGGAAUAUUGCACAAUGGACGAAAGUCUGAUGCAGCAACGCCGCGUGGAGGAUGUCACAUUUCGGAGCGUAAACUCCUUUUAUAUGAGAAGAUAAUGACGGUAUUAUAUGAAUAAGCACCGGCUAACUCCGUGCCAGCCGCCGCUGUAA
This 484-nucleotide ribosomal RNA is filed under the name uncultured bacterium. Its description in RNAcentral is "partial 16S ribosomal RNA". It matches the Rfam family "Bacterial small subunit ribosomal RNA", at positions 29 to 523 of the family's 1533-position model. The record is from RNAcentral.